AUUAAGGUAGCAAAGCCCGGCCGUGCAAAGGGCUUAAAACCCCAACACAGAUGUUAAAAUCAUCUCCUUAAUA
This 73-nucleotide transfer RNA is filed under the name Fowlea piscator (Checkered keelback). RNAcentral's name for it is "tRNA-Leu". It matches the Rfam family "tRNA". Rfam says of the family: Transfer RNA (tRNA) molecules are approximately 80 nucleotides in length. Their secondary structure includes four short double-helical elements and three loops (D, anti-codon, and T loops). Lineage: Eukaryota; Metazoa; Chordata; Lepidosauria; Squamata; Natricidae. The record is from RNAcentral.